This 253-nucleotide ribosomal RNA is filed under the name uncultured bacterium. RNAcentral describes it as "partial 16S ribosomal RNA". It matches the Rfam family "Bacterial small subunit ribosomal RNA", at positions 524 to 776 of the family's 1533-position model. The record is from RNAcentral.
UACGUAGGGUGCAAGCGUUAUUCGGAAUUACUGGGCGUAAAGCGUGCGCAGGCGGUUGUGUAAGACAGAUGUGAAAUCCCCGGGCUCAACCUGGGAACUGCAUUUGUGACUGCACAGCUGGAGUGCGGCAGAGGGGGAUGGAAUUCCGCGUGUAGCAGUGAAAUGCGUAGAUAUGCGGAGGAACACCGAUGGCGAAGGCAAUCCCCUGGGCCUGCACUGACGCUCAUGCACGAAAGCGUGGGGAGCAAACAGG